ACAGUGUGUAAUGACCGCAAAAAAGACAAAAAAUAAACGGAGACGUGUCACCAGAGAAAGAAGCACUCUCAAGUGACAUUUACAGCAGGGAAACCCCUCGGAUAUCUGUCGUCUUGGCCCUUGUUCGCUUUGUCAAAUCAUCUUUUGAUUUGGCACUGCGCGCAGGAGGCGUACCCAGGUCGUUAUUUCGAUCGUUAUGGGGUACUCGGUGAUGAUGUGGUCAUUGCCGACACAGAAGUAGCUAGGUUGGCUCAGCA
This 257-nucleotide unclassified non-coding RNA is filed under the name Hevea brasiliensis (rubber tree). Lineage: Eukaryota; Viridiplantae; Streptophyta; Magnoliopsida; Malpighiales; Euphorbiaceae. The record is from RNAcentral.